This 546-nucleotide long non-coding RNA is filed under the name Homo sapiens (human). Its description in RNAcentral is "non-protein coding lnc-PEBP4-3:2". The record is from RNAcentral. Lineage: Eukaryota; Metazoa; Chordata; Mammalia; Primates; Hominidae.
UGAACGCGGCACUGUCCUUAUCUUCUGGCUGGCGACUUUUUUGUUCCCAGACCAAACUGAGGGUGGGGCUGCCCAAUAAUGAGAUGCAGGUGAAUCUCGCUGCCCAAUAAGAAGAUGCAGGUGAAUCUCGCUGCCCAAUAAUGAGAUGCAGGUCUCAGCUGAGUCUGCUCUGAUCACCCAACAAGACCUAGCUCCCCAGCAGAGAGCGGCCCCACAACAAAAGAGGUCCAGCCCCUCAGAGGGAUUGUGUCCACCUGGACACCAUAUCUCAGAAGACGGUAGAGAUUGCAUCUCCUGCAAAUAUGGACAGGACUAUAGCACUCACUGGAAUGACCUCCUUUUCUGCUUGCGCUGCACCAGGUGUGAUUCAGGUGAAGUGGAGCUAAGUCCCUGCACCACGACCAGAAACACAGUGUGUCAGUGCGAAGAAGGCACCUUCCGGGAAGAAGAUUCUCCUGAGAUGUGCCGGAAGUGCCGCACAGGGUGUCCCAGAGGGAUGGUCAAGGUCGGUGAUUGUACACCCUGGAGUGACAUCGAAUGUGUCCA